This 1565-nucleotide ribosomal RNA is filed under the name chicken gut metagenome. Its description in RNAcentral is "Bacterial small subunit ribosomal RNA". It matches the Rfam family "Bacterial small subunit ribosomal RNA". The record is from RNAcentral.
UUUGGAGAGUUUGAUCCUGGCUCAGGAUAAACGCUGGCGGCAUGCCUAAGACAUGCAAGUCGAACGAGAUGGCCCAAAGAAGAUGGAGUGCUUGCACGAAGUUGGAAAUGGAUAACCAUCUAGUGGCAGACGGGUGAGUAACACGUGGGUGACCUACCUUUAAGUUGGGGAUAACAUUUGGAAACGGAUGCUAAUACCGAAUAAGAUAUAACGGUCGAAGUUAUAUAGAAAGGAGCCUUUAAAGCUUCGCUUAGAGAUGGGCCUGCGGCGUAUUAACUAGUUGGUGAGGUAAUGGCUCACCAAGGUAGCGAUGCGUAGCCGGACUGAGAGGUUGAACGGCCACAUUGGGACUGAGACACGGCCCAAACUCCUACGGGAGACAGCAGUUAGGAAUAUUCGUCAAUGGGGGGAACCCUGAACGAGCAAUGCCGCGUGAGUGAAGAAGGUCUUUUGAUUGUAAAACUCUGUUAUAUGUGAAGAACGGCUAUAUUAGGAAAUGAAUAUAGAGUGACGGUAGCAUAUGAGAAAGCCCCGGCUAACUACGUGCCAGCAGCCGCGGUAAUACGUAGGGGGCGAGCGUUAUCCGGAAUUAUUGGGCGUAAAGAGUGCGUAGGCGGUUAGGUAAGUUUAAGAUAAAAGCCCGGAGCUUAACUCCGGUUCGUCUUAAAAACUGUUUAACUAGAGUAUGGUAGAGGCAAACGGAAUUUCUAGUGUAGCGGUGAAAUGCGUAGAUAUUAGAAGGAACACCAGUGGCGAAGGCGGUUUGCUGGGCCAAAACUGACGCUGAGGCACGAAAGCGUGGGGAGCAAAUAGGAUUAGAUACCCUAGUAGUCCACGCCGUAAACGAUGAGUGCUAAGUGUUGGGAGUCAAAUUUCAGUGCUGCAGUUAACGCAAUAAGUACUCCGCCUGAGUAGUACGUUCGCAAGAAUGAAACUCAAAGGAAUUGACGGGGGCCCGCACAAGCGGUGGAGCAUGUGGUUUAAUUCGAAGCAACGCGAAGAACCUUACCAGGUCUUGACAUCCCAGUGACCGCUCUAGAGAUAGAGUUUUUCUUCGGAACACUGGUGACAGGUGGUGCAUGGUUGUCGUCAGCUCGUGUCGUGAGAUGUUGGGUUAAGUCCCGCAACGAGCGCAACCCUUGUUUCAUGUUACCAAUAUUGAGUUAGGGACUCAUGAGAGACUGCCGGUGACAAACCGGAGGAAGGUGGGGAUGACGUCAAAUCAUCAUGCCCCUUACGUCCAGGGCUACAGGCGUGCUACAAUGGCUGGUAUAAUAAGACGCAAAACCGUGAGGUGGAGCAAAUCUCCAAAGCCAGUCUCAGUACGGAUUGAAGUCUGCAACUCGACUUCAUGAAGCUGGAAUCGCUAGUAAUCCCGAAUCAGAAUGUCGGGGUGAAUACGUUCCCGGGUGUUGUACACACCGCCCGUCACGCCACGAAAGUCUGUAAUACCCGAAUGUGGUAGCCUAACCUUCUAGGAGGGGGCCGCAAAAGGUAGGACAGGUGAUUGGGGUGAAGUCGUAACAAGGUAUCCCUACGAGAACGUGGGGAUGGAUCACCUCCUU